RNAcentral lists this long non-coding RNA (2110 nucleotides) under Homo sapiens (human). RNAcentral's name for it is "non-protein coding lnc-EVX1-15:1". Lineage: Eukaryota; Metazoa; Chordata; Mammalia; Primates; Hominidae. The record is from RNAcentral.
UUACGUAAGGUUUUCUUUUAUUUAAAAGAUCAUUCACAAAAUACCAUAUCCAUAGAUUUACUUUCUGUCAUAUAGCUGAAUGUGUUAAGUGUUUGGAAUUCCAUUCUUACAUUUAAAAGUCAACUGGAUUGCCCAGCAGUUUAGAUGCAUGUGUUUUGUUCUUUAUCUUAUCCACAUUGAAGAUGUAAGUAGGUCAUCUGAAAGCCUCGGGUUUGAUUACACCACAUAAUGCAUGUCUUUCUGAAGUUAAGUGUUGGUGUUACACAAAUGGUUCUUAUCUCAGAAGCAGAGAAGCUGACAGGUGGAAGGAAGGAGAGAGAGUUCUGUGGAUUGCUGAGGCCUUGUAACAAGACACAGUAGGAAAAGCCCAGGAUGACGGCUGGUGACCAAAUACUAAGCACAUUCCGCUGGGUGCCCCAGGCCACCCUGGCCCUGCCAUCACCUGGCGAGGGCCUCUUUCCCAGGCUCCUGCUGCCGGCCGCCCCCAAACUGCUCCCCAUAGGACAGACUGGGACUUGGGUACUGAAGGAUUUUUCAUCUGUUCACACGCAGGCGUUCAAGCUCAAAAGCCUAACCCCUAGCACUCCCACGUAAGUGCUGAACCCUGCACAUGGGAACAAUCCAGUGUGUCCCCAAGAUGUGGCCGCAGACCUAGGCAGCUGCAGUCCUCUACUGCUAUCUGAAGGUUCCUGACAGCUCUGCACAGUACAAUUUAUCAAAGGAAAUGAGUAAAGUGCCAGAUUCUAGACCCAUUUUGGCUCUGAACUGAAGGGGAGGUGGGAAGCACAGUAUCUCAUUAUGUUGCCUAUACUAGGAACAGAUCCACACAACACACAGGCAACAGGGAUGGGGGGAAACGCUGUGUCAGCGCCGCAGUCAGCCCAGUGCAGCGCCAGCACCACCCCCUCCACCCCCAAAGCGCCUUGGCCCAGCAGAAAAGAAACCCGCUGGCCGUUCACUGCACCCGGCCAGAGAGGCGAGCCUCCACCACGCACGGCGAAAGGGUUUUUGUUGGAAGCCCCAGCAAUACAGAACUCAACAUGCAGGUCAGAAGAGAAGCACUGAGGGAAUGAAAGGAAACUCCUGGAGUUGGGCCAGUGUCUAAAGUAAAGAGAAAGCAAAGGAAAAAUGACGCAGCACCGCAGCCCAAACGCCCCCCCACGGCGGCCACCUCUGCUCCUCCGAGGAACCCCGUGUGCUGCUGGGAAAACAAGGAGCAGGAGAAAAAGGACAGAAGGAAAAUGGGGAAGCAGCGGAAGAAAGAAAAAAACGCACAAACAGGCACUAGAUAGAUACAGCAAAGCCCAGAAUGUACUAAAAACCACUUGUUAACAGCUGACAUGCACUCACAAGCUGUGUUUCCGCUGUGAGGAGGCCAAUGGCAGGCGCAGGAGUGGCGGCUGCAGGACGGCUGCCCGGGGACUCACCAGGCUGUGGUCCUGCUCUAACCCCCCACGCCCCAUUCCCUCCCAACCGCAGGCUCAUUUUUGCUCCUUUUGAACAACUUCCUCUCUAGGCCUGGCACCCCCGAAGAUAGCAGAGUUGGGAUUGGCUACUUGAUUGAGGGGCGUCGCGACUGUUCGAGGUUUAAGCUGGAGUCGUGGUCUCUGUGCGCUUUCCUCUUCUGUGGGUUCUCUGAAAUCCAUGUUGGAUCCACCGAGGGGAGGGCCAUCUCCGAAGCGGCUGCCCAUGGGGGGGCCUGUUCGCCGGUCGCCUGGGCGACUACCUCCCCUGCCCCCUAAGAAGUCAUCCCUGAAGCCUCUGUCAUCUGGUCCACCUUUUCUGAAUCCAAAGCCACCUUUAUCUUGUUUUCUGCCUUCUGCAAUGUCCACACGAAGUGACCGAUCGCCCAACAGUGCACCAUCGUAUGUCAAGGCUUCCUUAAGGGAAUCCACUUCAUCGAAUUCUACAUAGCAGAAUCCUUUAAAUUUAUCUGUGUCUUUGUCUCUGACUAGCCGUACACUCCUUAUGCUGAGAUCCUUAAAGAUAGCAUCUAUGUCGCCCCGAACCGUAUUGAAAGGUAGAUUUCCUACGUAUGCUGUGUAGGGGGGCUCUGUGGGCAACUCCUUCUGGCUACGGGAACCAUGGCCACCAGCACUGCCGCGGGACC